CCUACGGGUGACAGCAGUGGGGCAUAUUGCGCAAUGGGCGACAGCCUGACGCAGCGACGCCGCGUGAGGGAUGAAGGUCUUCGGAUCGUAAACCUCUGUCAGCAGGGAAGAACGGUCACUGUGCUAAUCAGCAGUGAAUUGACGGUACCUGCAAAGGAAGCACCGGCUAACUCCGUGCCAGCAGCCGCGGUAAUACGGAGGGGGCGGGCGUUUAUCGGAAUUACUUGGCGUAAAGCGCUCGUAGGCGGGAUGUCAAGUCCAGGGUGAAAUCCCCGCGCUCAACGUGGGAACUGCCUUUGAAACUGGCAAACUGGAGUGUGUGAGAGGAUAGUGGAAUUCCAGGUGUAGGAGUGAAAUCCGUAGAUAUCUGGAGGAACAUCAGUGGCGAAGGCGACUAUCUGGCACAUAACUGACGCUGAGGAGCGAAAGCGUGGGUAGCAAACAGGAUUAGAUACCCCAGUAGUC
This 465-nucleotide ribosomal RNA is filed under the name uncultured bacterium. RNAcentral describes it as "partial 16S ribosomal RNA". It matches the Rfam family "Bacterial small subunit ribosomal RNA", at positions 338 to 795 of the family's 1533-position model. The record is from RNAcentral.